GAUGAAGAACGUAGCGAAAUGCGAUAAGUAAUGUGAAUUGCAGAAUUCAGUGAAUCAUCGAGUCUUUGAACGCACAUUGCGCCCCCCGGUAUUCCGGGGGGCAUGCCUGUCCGAGCGUCAUUGCUGCCCUCAAGCACGGCUUGUGUGUUGGGCCCCCGUCCCCGGUUUCCCCCGGGGACGGGCCCGAAAGGCAGCGGCGGCACCGCGUCCGGUCCUCGAGCGUAUGGGGCUUUGUCACCCGCUCUGUAGGCCCGGCCGGCGCCAGCCGACACCCAACUUUAUUUCUAAGGUUGACCUCGGAUCAGGUAGGGAUACCCGCUGAACUUAAGCAUAUCAAUAAGCGGAGGA
RNAcentral lists this unclassified non-coding RNA (348 nucleotides) under soil metagenome. RNAcentral describes it as "partial contains 5.8S ribosomal RNA, internal transcribed spacer 2, and large subunit ribosomal RNA". The stretch from base 1 to 120 matches the Rfam family "5.8S ribosomal RNA", at positions 35 to 154 of the family's 154-position model. The record is from RNAcentral.